CAACCUGCCCACCACUUGGGGAUAACCUUGCGAAAGUAAGACUAAUACCCAAUGAUAUCUCUAGAAGGCAUCUGAAAGAGAUUAAAGAUUUAUCGGUGAUGGAUGGGGAUGCGUCUGAUUAGCUUGUUGGCGGGGUAACGGCCCACCAAGGCAACGAUCAGUAGGGGUUCUGAGAGGAAGGUCCCCCACAUUGGAACUGAGACACGGUCCAAACUCCUACGGGAGGCAGCAGUGAGGAAUAUUGGUCAAUGGACGAGAGUCUGAACCAGCCAAGUAGCGUGCAGGAAGACGGCCCUAUGGGUUGUAAACUGCUUUUAUAAGGGAAUAAAGUGAGUCUCGUGAGACUUUUUGCAUGUACCUUAUGAAUAAGGACCGGCUAAUUCCGUGCCAGCAGCCGCGGUAAUACGGAAGGUCCGGGCGUUAUCCGGAUUUAUCGGGUUUAAAGGGAGCGUAGGCCGGAGAUUAAGCGUGUUGUGAAAUGUAGAUGCUCAACAUCUGAACUGCAGCGCGAACUGGUUUCCUUGAGUACGCACAAAGUGGGCGGAAUUCGUGUGUAGCGGUGAAAUGCUUAGAUAUCACGAAGAACUCCGAUUG
RNAcentral lists this ribosomal RNA (594 nucleotides) under uncultured Bacteroidota bacterium. Its description in RNAcentral is "bacterial SSU rRNA". It matches the Rfam family "Bacterial small subunit ribosomal RNA", at positions 122 to 715 of the family's 1533-position model. The record is from RNAcentral. Lineage: Bacteria; Pseudomonadati; Bacteroidota.